AUUUGAAGAGGCUGGGUCUUGUAAUCCUUUUUGCAUUUGAAGUAUGAUUUAUAUGAACAGCUGAUUAUUCAAAUCUCUAACUACCAGCUUCUUCCCUGCAAUCAAGUAUUUAGAGUUUUAUCCUGGAUUCAUAUUUUCAGCUCAAGCGUGGGCACAAACUGAACACAAAAUGGACAAGCCCCUGUACAAAAACAUAACUCUAAGGGAAUGGAUAAUGGGAUGAAGAUGAUGAGAUGAAAAGAGAUAAUGGGACAAAAAGAGAGUGAACUUUCAUUUUCUUCUGUUCUUCCUCAGGCACACAUCUCUGCAUUUACAGCUCAAGCAGUGCAUCCACAUUCUGGACAUGUUGGACUUUUCAGCUCUCUAAAGAAUGCUAUGAGAGUGCCCUCGAUACACAAGCUGCCUAGCUGCCCUUGGGAAAGGCUCUCUGUGCAGUUGCUUCAAGCUCUGUGCAAAUGAAGCUGCAGAAGGUACCAGCAACAGGUCUGGGAAGGAUCAGGGGACCCAAGUAUUGUGGCCAUCCCCAGUGUUGCAGGUUUGGGCAAGGCUUGAGCAUGCAGGGUUGUAGAGAGACUACAUUCAUCAUCUGGUUCCAGUGGAUUUGGUGCAAAUUUCUGUGUAAAACAACACGUUCACAGGAAGACUACAUCCUCCCCCUUUACAGGGAGAAUGACUUCCUAAAAAGAAAAGGAGCAGGUGACCUUCAAUACCUCUGCUAAUUUCACUUCUCUGUUUGCUGGAUGGGCAUUUCUAUGGUACAGAAUAAUCUAGUCUAGUUUAUUAAGUCCUGCUGUCAUUCACGAUGUUCAAGUUCACAUCCUGUUACAAAGCAGAAUUGAUUGUAUUGUUGUAUUUGUGUCUUUUAAGAGGAAAGCUAUUAAAUUUGUUAGGCUUACAGCUCAAAGACACUGCAAUGAACAAGAGAAUCAGUUCAUCCAUAUCAGUAUUCUGAUUUAAAUUAUUCAGUUUGACAACAAUUUAGGCUGCUGCUGUGCUGUCCUUUGAUCAAUACUGUCUCACUGCUCUCUUUUUCUACUCCCAUCUUCUAUUUUCAUCUUUUGCUCUUAGUUUUCCACUUGGAUUGUAAAGUCCUUGAAUCACGAUCGUUACUUUGUUCUUUGUAAAGUGCCUAGAGAAAUUCAGUCCUGGCCUGUAACUAGUGUGCCCAAAUGGUGUAAUAAAUGUGUCGCAAUUACUACUGAUGCUGCAGUUGUUUUUGUA
This is a long non-coding RNA of Parus major (Great Tit), 1221 nucleotides long. RefSeq lists it as uncharacterized. Lineage: Eukaryota; Metazoa; Chordata; Aves; Passeriformes; Paridae. The transcript has 4 exons. The record is from RefSeq and is a predicted model, not a curated record.